AAAUCGGUGGUUCAGUGGUAAAAAAAAAAGUGGUAAAGUGGUUUCGCCUGCCACGUGGGCGGCCCGGGUUCGAUUCCCGGCCGAUGCA
Molecule: transfer RNA, 88 nt
Filed under: Cordylochernes scorpioides
Lineage: Eukaryota; Metazoa; Arthropoda; Arachnida; Pseudoscorpiones; Chernetidae
Description: tRNA-Gly
Source: RNAcentral